RNAcentral lists this ribosomal RNA (253 nucleotides) under uncultured bacterium. Its description in RNAcentral is "partial 16S ribosomal RNA". It matches the Rfam family "Bacterial small subunit ribosomal RNA", at positions 524 to 776 of the family's 1533-position model. The record is from RNAcentral. RNAcentral also lists the same sequence under 1 other name.
UACGUAGGUGGCAAGCGUUGUCCGGAAUUACUGGGCGUAAAGGGCGUGUAGGCGGCCUUUUAAGUCAGACGUGAAAUCCAUGGGCUUAACCCAUGAAUUGCGUUUGAAACUGGAGGGCUUGAGGAUCGGAGAGGGCAGUGGAAUUCCCAGUGUAGCGGUGAAAUGCGUAGAUAUUGGGAGGAACACCAGUGGCGAAGGCGACUGCCUGGACGACACCUGACGCUGAGGCGCGAAAGCUAGGGGAGCAAACGGG